RNAcentral lists this ribosomal RNA (263 nucleotides) under uncultured bacterium. RNAcentral describes it as "partial 16S ribosomal RNA". It matches the Rfam family "Bacterial small subunit ribosomal RNA", at positions 793 to 1055 of the family's 1533-position model. The record is from RNAcentral.
GUCCACGCCGUAAACGAUGAGUGCUAGGUGCUGUGGGUAUUGACCCCGCGGUGCCGCAGCCAACGCGUUAAGCACUCCGCCUGGGGAGUACGGCCGCAAGGCUAAAACUCAAAGGAAUUGACGGGGCCCGCACAAGCGGUGGAGCAUGUGGUUCAAUUCGACGCAACGCGCAGAACCUUACCUGUGUUAAAUCCACUCGAAUCUAGUAGAGAUACUGGGGUGCCCUUCGGGGAGCGAGUGAGAAGGUGCUGCAUGGCUGUCGU